Molecule: long non-coding RNA, 413 nt
Filed under: Mastacembelus armatus (zig-zag eel)
Lineage: Eukaryota; Metazoa; Chordata; Actinopteri; Synbranchiformes; Mastacembelidae
Description: lncRNA (ENSMAMG00000027877.1)
Source: RNAcentral
AUGAGUGUGACAGUGAGAGCCUUAUGACUGUGACCCUAGGCAGUCUGACUGUGGGCUUCAUGAUGGUUGUCACUGGUCUGGCUGUUAAAAUCAGGAAACAGCAGAAAGCUUUGAAUAAAGAGCUGCAUCCUCAAAGAAACAAGGUUCUGGUCUCUAAAUACAUGGACUCUGCAGCACUGAGGUUCCUUCCAGAGACAAGAAGAAGCAGGACACCAGAAGUGGAAACUCAUGUUUUUAUUUUCUUGGUCAAAGUCACUGCUGUUGUUUUGUCUGCCUCUAAUCUUCAUCUUAGAGCAGCAAGGAUGUAUUUGACGUUUGAUGAGGAGGAGCCAUGACAGGACAGUGAUGACACUGAUGGCAAACUGACUCAUGGGGGGAGUCAAAUGGUCUGUAGGUUGAGUAGGUGGAGUGUG